RNAcentral lists this ribosomal RNA (2902 nucleotides) under Klebsiella pneumoniae. RNAcentral's name for it is "23S ribosomal RNA". It matches the Rfam family "Bacterial large subunit ribosomal RNA". The record is from RNAcentral. Lineage: Bacteria; Pseudomonadati; Pseudomonadota; Gammaproteobacteria; Enterobacterales; Enterobacteriaceae.
GGUUAAGCGACUAAGCGUACACGGUGGAUGCCCUGGCAGUCAGAGGCGAUGAAGGACGUGCUAAUCUGCGAAAAGCGUCGGUAAGGUGAUAUGAACCGUUAUAGCCGGCGAUGUCCGAAUGGGGAAACCCAGUGUGAUUCGUCACACUAUCGUUAACUGAAUACAUAGGUUAACGAGGCGAACCGGGGGAACUGAAACAUCUAAGUACCCCGAGGAAAAGAAAUCAACCGAGAUUCCCCCAGUAGCGGCGAGCGAACGGGGAGCAGCCCAGAGUCUGAAUCAGCUUGUGUGUUAGUGGAACGGUCUGGAAAGUCCGACGGUACAGGGUGAUAGUCCCGUACACCAAAAUGCACAGGCUGUGAACUCGAAGAGUAGGGCGGGACACGUGGUAUCCUGUCUGAAUAUGGGGGGACCAUCCUCCAAGGCUAAAUACUCCUGACUGACCGAUAGUGAACCAGUACCGUGAGGGAAAGGCGAAAAGAACCCCGGCGAGGGGAGUGAAAAAGAACCUGAAACCGUGUACGUACAAGCAGUGGGAGCACCUUCGGGUGUGACUGCGUACCUUUUGUAUAAUGGGUCAGCGACUUAUAUUCUGUAGCAAGGUUAACCGUAUAGGGGAGCCGCAGGGAAACCGAGUCUUAACUGGGCGUUAAGUUGCAGGGUAUAGACCCGAAACCCGGUGAUCUAGCCAUGGGCAGGUUGAAGGUUGGGUAACACUAACUGGAGGACCGAACCGACUAAUGUUGAAAAAUUAGCGGAUGACUUGUGGCUGGGGGUGAAAGGCCAAUCAAACCGGGAGAUAGCUGGUUCUCCCCGAAAGCUAUUUAGGUAGCGCCUCGUGAACUCAUCUUCGGGGGUAGAGCACUGUUUCGGCUAGGGGGUCAUCCCGACUUACCAACCCGAUGCAAACUACGAAUACCGAAGAAUGUUAUCACGGGAGACACACGGCGGGUGCUAACGUCCGUCGUGAAGAGGGAAACAACCCAGACCGCCAGCUAAGGUCCCAAAGUCAUGGUUAAGUGGGAAACGAUGUGGGAAGGCACAGACAGCCAGGAUGUUGGCUUAGAAGCAGCCAUCAUUUAAAGAAAGCGUAAUAGCUCACUGGUCGAGUCGGCCUGCGCGGAAGAUGUAACGGGGCUAAACCAUGCACCGAAGCUGCGGCAGCGACACUAUGUGUUGUUGGGUAGGGGAGCGUUCUGUAAGCCUGCGAAGGUGUGCUGUGAGGCAUGCUGGAGGUAUCAGAAGUGCGAAUGCUGACAUAAGUAACGAUAAAGCGGGUGAAAAGCCCGCUCGCCGGAAGACCAAGGGUUCCUGUCCAACGUUAAUCGGGGCAGGGUGAGUCGACCCCUAAGGCGAGGCCGAAAGGCGUAGUCGAUGGGAAACAGGUUAAUAUUCCUGUACUUGGUGUUACUGCGAAGGGGGGACGGAGAAGGCUAUGUUAGCCGGGCGACGGUUGUCCCGGUUUAAGCAUGUAGGCUGAUUGUCCAGGCAAAUCCGGAUAAUCAAGGCUGAGGUGUGAUGACGAGGCACUACGGUGCUGAAGUAACAAAUGCCCUGCUUCCAGGAAAAGCCUCUAAGCAUCAGGUAACAUCAAAUCGUACCCCAAACCGACACAGGUGGUCAGGUAGAGAAUACCAAGGCGCUUGAGAGAACUCGGGUGAAGGAACUAGGCAAAAUGGUGCCGUAACUUCGGGAGAAGGCACGCUGGUGUGUAGGUGAAGCCCCUGCGGGUGGAGCUGAGACCAGUCGAAGAUACCAGCUGGCUGCAACUGUUUAUUAAAAACACAGCACUGUGCAAACACGAAAGUGGACGUAUACGGUGUGACGCCUGCCCGGUGCCGGAAGGUUAAUUGAUGGGGUUAUCCGUAAGGAGAAGCUCUUGAUCGAAGCCCCGGUAAACGGCGGCCGUAACUAUAACGGUCCUAAGGUAGCGAAAUUCCUUGUCGGGUAAGUUCCGACCUGCACGAAUGGCGUAAUGAUGGCCAGGCUGUCUCCACCCGAGACUCAGUGAAAUUGAACUCGCUGUGAAGAUGCAGUGUACCCGCGGCAAGACGGAAAGACCCCGUGAACCUUUACUAUAGCUUGACACUGAACAUUGAGCCUUGAUGUGUAGGAUAGGUGGGAGGCUUUGAAGCGUGGACGCCAGUCUGCGUGGAGCCAACCUUGAAAUACCACCCUUUAAUGUUUGAUGUUCUAACGUUGGCCCCUUACCGGGGUUGCGGACAGUGUCUGGUGGGUAGUUUGACUGGGGCGGUCUCCUCCCAAAGCGUAACGGAGGAGCACGAAGGUUAGCUAAUCCUGGUCGGACAUCAGGAGGUUAGUGCAAUGGCAUAAGCUAGCUUGACUGCGAGCGUGACGGCGCGAGCAGGUGCGAAAGCAGGUCAUAGUGAUCCGGUGGUUCUGAAUGGAAGGGCCAUCGCUCAACGGAUAAAAGGUACUCCGGGGAUAACAGGCUGAUACCGCCCAAGAGUUCAUAUCGACGGCGGUGUUUGGCACCUCGAUGUCGGCUCAUCACAUCCUGGGGCUGAAGUAGGUCCCAAGGGUAUGGCUGUUCGCCAUUUAAAGUGGUACGCGAGCUGGGUUUAGAACGUCGUGAGACAGUUCGGUCCCUAUCUGCCGUGGGCGCUGGAGAAUUGAGGGGGGCUGCUCCUAGUACGAGAGGACCGGAGUGGACGCAUCACUGGUGUUCGGGUUGUCAUGCCAAUGGCACUGCCCGGUAGCUAAAUGCGGAAGAGAUAAGUGCUGAAAGCAUCUAAGCACGAAACUUGCCCCGAGAUGAGUUCUCCCUGAGACUUUAAGUCUCCUGAAGGAACGUUAAAGACGAUGACGUUGAUAGGCCGGGUGUGUAAGCGCAGCGAUGCGUUGAGCUAACCGGUACUAAUGAACCGUGAGGCUUAACCUU